Long non-coding RNA from Magallana angulata, 342 nucleotides. RefSeq lists it as uncharacterized. NCBI's taxonomy places the organism in Eukaryota, Metazoa, Mollusca, Bivalvia, Ostreida, Ostreidae. The record is from RefSeq and is a predicted model, not a curated record. The transcript is spliced from 3 exons.
UUAAAACAUCGUAUCCAACUCAAGAAGUGAGCAGACGAUCGAAGAUGUAAGAUAUCAGAAAAACCGGGAAUUUUGGUAGACCAAGCCUUGAUGAUGUUGACAGACGAAGUUAUGAGGUCAUAAAACAUUUGUGUCGUCUUCUCAUUGCAUCCCUCGCUUUUUGUGCAAGGCACUUCAUACUAAAACCAAUGGAGAAGAAAAUGUAACGUCUGCAUGACUAGAAUCUAGAUGUGCUCGCACUAGCAAUGUAAUGAGACUGACUGGAGGAGAUGGAGAGGAUUCCUGGGGGCUCUUUGGUUUUGAAGGAAGUCUACCUCGACGUCCUUUAAGACUGUCCGUGCG